Molecule: ribosomal RNA, 443 nt
Filed under: uncultured bacterium
Lineage: Bacteria
Description: partial 16S ribosomal RNA
Rfam family: Bacterial small subunit ribosomal RNA
Source: RNAcentral
CCUACGGGAGGCAGCAGUGGGGAAUAUUGGGCAAUGGGCGCAAGCCUGACCCAGCAACGCCGCGUGAAGGAAGAAGGCUUUCGGGUUGUAAACUUCUUUUCUCAGGGACGAAGCAAGUGACGGUACCUGAGGAAUAAGCCACGGCUAACUACGUGCCAGCAGCCACGGUAAUACGUAGGUGGCAAGCGUUAUCCGGAUUUACUGGGUGUAAAGGGCGUGUAGGCGGGAAAGCAAGUCAGAUGUGAAAACCAUGGGCUCAACCUGUGGCCUGCAUUUGAAACUGUUUUUCUUGAGUACUGGAGAGGCAGACGGAAUUCCUAGUGUAGCGGUGAAAUGCGUAGAGAUAUGGAGGAACACCAGUGGCGAAGGCGGCUUCCUGGUCUGCAACUGACACUGAGGCGCGAAAGCGUGGGGAGCAAACAGGAUUAGAUACCCGGGUAGUC